AGCGAACGCUGGCGGCAGGCUUAACACAUGCAAGUCGAGCGGGCCCUUCGGGGUCAGCGGCCGACGGGUGAGUAACACGUGGGAACGUACCCUUUGGUUCGGAAUAACGCUGGGAAGCUAGCGCUAAUACCGGAUACGCCCUUUUGGGGAAAGGCUUGCUGCCGAAGGAUCGGCCCGCGUCUGAUUAGCUAGUUGGCGGGGUAAUGGCCUACCAAGGCGACGAUCAGUAGCUGGUCUGAGAGGAUGAUCAGCCACACUGGGACUGAGACACGGCCCAGACUCCUACGGGAGGCAGCAGUGGGGAAUAUUGGACAAUGGGCGCAAGCCUGAUCCAGCCAUGCCGCGUGAGUGAUGAAGGCCUUAGGGUUGUAAAGCUCUUUUGUCCGGGACGAUAAUGACGGUACCGGAAGAAUAAGCCCCGGCUAACUUCGUG
Molecule: ribosomal RNA, 433 nt
Filed under: uncultured bacterium
Lineage: Bacteria
Description: partial 16S ribosomal RNA
Rfam family: Bacterial small subunit ribosomal RNA
Source: RNAcentral